This 443-nucleotide ribosomal RNA is filed under the name uncultured bacterium. Its description in RNAcentral is "partial 16S ribosomal RNA". It matches the Rfam family "Bacterial small subunit ribosomal RNA", at positions 338 to 795 of the family's 1533-position model. The record is from RNAcentral.
CCUACGGGUGGCAGCAGUGGGGAAUAUUGGACAAUGGAGGCAACUCUGACCCAGCUACGCCGCGUGAGUGAUGACGGUCUUCGGAUUGUAAAGUUCUUUUCUAAGGGAAGAAGAAGGUGACGGUACCUUAUGAAUAAGCCUCCGCUAACUACGUGCCAGCAGCCGCGGUAAUACGUAGGAGGCAAGCGUUAUCCGGAAUGACUGGGCGGAAAGGGUGAGUAGGUGGGUUGACAAGGUAGUAGCGCAACUCCGGGGCUGAACUUGGGAACUACUACUGAGACUGUUGGGCUUGAGUGCAGGAGGGGCAAGUGGAAUUCCUGGUGUAGCAGUGGAAUGCAUAGAUAUUAGGAAGAACACCGGUGGCGAAGGCGGCCUGCUAGACUGUAACUGACGCUGAGGCACGAAAGCGUGGGGAGCAAACAGGAUUAGAUACCCCAGUAGUC